RNAcentral lists this ribosomal RNA (494 nucleotides) under uncultured bacterium. Its description in RNAcentral is "bacterial SSU rRNA". It matches the Rfam family "Bacterial small subunit ribosomal RNA", at positions 903 to 1397 of the family's 1533-position model. The record is from RNAcentral.
AAAUGAAUAGACGGGGGCCCGCACAAGCAGCGGAGCAUGUUGUUUAAUUCGAAGCAACGCGAAGAACCUUACCAGGUCUUGACAUUGAUGUAACCCUGUAGAGAUACAGGCUGCCUUCGGGCAACUGAAAACAGGUGGUGCAUGGUUGUCGUCAGCUCGUGUCGUGAGAUGUUGGGUUAAGUCCCGCAACGAGCGCAACCCUUAUUAUCAGUUACUAACGGGUAAUGCCGAGGACUCUGAUGAGACUGCCGGGGAUAACUCGGAGGAAGGUGGGGACGAUGUCAAAUCAUCAUGCCCCUUAUGACCUGGGCUACAAACGUGCUACAAUGGUGGCAACAAAGAGGUGCAAGCGCGCAAGUGCAAGCGGAUCUCAAAAAAGCCAUCUCAGUUCGGAUUGUGGGCUGCAACCCGCCCACAUGAAGUUGGAGUUGCUAGUAAUCGCGAAUCAGCAUGUCGCGGUGAAUACGUUCCCGGGCCUUGUACACACCGCCCGU